AGUGAACGCUGGCAGUAGGCCUAACACAUGCAAGUCGAACGGCAGCACAGUAAGAGCUUGCUCUUACGGGUGGCGAGUGGCGGACGGGUGAGGAAUACAUCGGAAUCUACUUUCUCGUGGGGGAUAACGUAGGGAAACUUACGCUAAUACCGCAUACGACCUACGGGUGAAAGCAGGGGAUCUUCGGACCUUGCGCGAUUGAAUGAGCCGAUGUCGGAUUAGCUAGUUGGCGGGGUAAAGGCCCACCAAGGCGACGAUCCGUAGCUGGUCUGAGAGGAUGAUCAGCCACACUGGAACUGAGACACGGUCCAGACUCCUACGGGAGGCAGCAGUGGGGAAUAUUGGACAAUGGGCGCAAGCCUGAUCCAGCCAUACCGCGUGGGUGAAGAAGGCCUUCGGGUUGUAAAGCCCUUUUGUUGGGAAAGAAAAGCAGCAGGUUAAUACCCCGCUGUUCUGACGGUACCCAAAGAAUAAGCACCGGCUAACUUCGUG
Molecule: ribosomal RNA, 492 nt
Filed under: uncultured bacterium
Lineage: Bacteria
Description: partial 16S ribosomal RNA
Rfam family: Bacterial small subunit ribosomal RNA
Source: RNAcentral